Molecule: small nucleolar RNA, 133 nt
Organism: Anguilla anguilla (European eel)
Lineage: Eukaryota; Metazoa; Chordata; Actinopteri; Anguilliformes; Anguillidae
Product: small nucleolar RNA SNORA70
Exons: 1
Source: RefSeq, a predicted model, not a curated record
GUGCAGUCCAAUAAGCUGACCAGACGGGGUGUUGUACUGCUCUGGUGUGCAAUGGCUGCUGACAGUGACGUCUCUGGUUGUGUAUGCGCGUGGCUGGCGGUGCAACGUGCUCUAAGGGACCUCUGAGACAUUU